RNAcentral lists this transfer RNA (92 nucleotides) under Planctomycetota bacterium. RNAcentral describes it as "Planctomycetes bacterium (bioreactor metagenome) tRNA-Ser". It matches the Rfam family "tRNA". Rfam says of the family: Transfer RNA (tRNA) molecules are approximately 80 nucleotides in length. The record is from RNAcentral. Lineage: Bacteria; Pseudomonadati; Planctomycetota.
GGAGAGGUGGCUGAGUGGCCGAUAGCGCCGCCUUGCUAAGGCGGUAUGGGGGUAACACUCCAUCGCGGGUUCAAAUCCCGCCCUCUCCGCCA